UCGGUUGAUCCUGCCGGAGGUCACUGCUAUCGAGGUUCGACUAAGCCAUGCGAGUCGAAUGCCGCAAGGCAUGGCGUACUGCUCAGUAACACGUGGAUAACCUACCCUUGGGACGGGCAUAAACCCGGGAAACUGGGUAUAAUUCCCGAUAGGUCUGGGAGGCUGGAACGCAUUCAGACUGAAAGCUCCGGCACCCAAGGAUGGGUCUGCGGCCUAUCAGGUAGUAGUGGGUGUAACGUACCUACUAGCCUACUACGGGUACGGGUUGUGAGAGCAAGAGCCCGGAGAUGGAUUCUGAGACACGAAUCCAGGCCCUACGGGGUGCAGCAGGCGCGAAAACUUUACAAUGCGGGCAACCGCGAUAAGGGGACCUCGAGUGCCGACAUCAAAUGUCGGCUGUCGUGAUGCCUAAAAAGCAUUACAUAGCAAGGGCCGGGCAAGACCGGUGCCAGCCGCCGCGGUAACACCGGCGGCUCGAGUGGUGACCGCUAUUAUUGGGUUUAAAGGGUCUGUAGCCGGCCGGAUAAGUCUCUUGGGAAAUCUGGCCGCUCAACGGUCAGGCUUUCAGGAGAUACUGUCUGGCUCGAGGCCGGGAGAGGUGAGAGGUACUUCAGGGGUAGGGGUGAAAUCUUGUAAUCCUUGAANGACCACCAGUGNCGAANGCNUCUCACCAGAACGGACCUGACGGCAGGNACGAANGCUAGGGGCACGAACCGGNAUUAGAUACCNGGUAGUCCUAGCCNUAAACGAUACUCGCUAGNUGUCGGCCACGGUGCGACCNNNGNCGGUGCCGCAGGGAAACCGUGAA
RNAcentral lists this ribosomal RNA (808 nucleotides) under uncultured archaeon. RNAcentral describes it as "bacterial SSU rRNA". It matches the Rfam family "Archaeal small subunit ribosomal RNA", at positions 4 to 818 of the family's 1478-position model. The record is from RNAcentral.